Molecule: ribosomal RNA, 579 nt
Filed under: uncultured bacterium
Lineage: Bacteria
Description: partial 16S ribosomal RNA
Rfam family: Bacterial small subunit ribosomal RNA
Source: RNAcentral
UGGGGAAUUUUGGACAAUGGGCGAAAGCCUGAUCCAGCAAUGCCGCGUGUGUGAAGAAGGCCUUCGGGUUGUAAAGCACUUUUGUCCGGAAAGAAAUCCUUGGCUCUAAUACAGUCGGGGGAUGACGGUACCGGAAGAAUAAGCACCGGCUAACUACGUGCCAGCAGCCGCGGUAAUACGUAGGGUGCAAGCGUUAAUCGGAAUUACUGGGCGUAAAGCGUGCGCAGGCGGUUUGCUAAGACCGAUGUGAAAUCCCCGGGCUCAACCUGGGAACUGCAUUGGUGACUGGCAGGCUAGAGUAUGGCAGAGGGGGGUAGAAUUCCACGUGUAGCAGUGAAAUGCGUAGAGAUGUGGAGGAAUACCGAUGGCGAAGGCAGCCCCCUGGGCCAAUACUGACGCUCACGCACGAAAGCGUGGGGAGCAAACAGGAUUAGAUACCCUGGUAGUCCACGCCCUAAACGAUGUCAACUAGUUGUUGGGGAUUCAUUUCCUUAGUAACGUAGCUAACGCGUGAAGUUGACCGCCUGGGGAGUACGGUCGCAGGAUUAAAACUCAAAUGAAUUGACGGGGUCAUAGCUG